AGAAAAAGAAGAACAUUACUUUUUUCUGAACAUAGAAACACCUCACCAUUUUUACAGCUUACCUUUGACACACAAAACUCAUACACUGAUGGAGGGAGAAUAACCCAUCACAUGCUUUCCUGUGGGCCAUUCAAGAGCAUGCACCCAAAGCCUUAUUAGAGUUCAUGCCCUCAGACCUAGCAAUUCUUCCAAGACUGCUGUUAAUUAGAGUAUUAUUUGUAAUGGAGAAAAGUUGGCAACAACAUGCAUGUCCCAUGGCUGAUAUCAAUUGUUAUAUGAUGGACUACUAUGCAGCCAUUACUAUAAAUCAUGUUUUGAAAUAAUUAUUGACCUGAAAAAAUGCCCACAAUAUAACACUAAGUGAUAAAGUAAUAUAUAAAACCUUCUAUAUGGCAUGACUCCAAUUUUAUAAAAUACAUACUAAGGUGCUUACAUAUACAUCAAAUGUUAAUAGUUGUUACUUCUGGUGGGAUUAUGGGAAAUUUUUAUUUCCUAUUUUAUACUUUACUGUAUUUUCAAAUAAGCAGGUAUCUUUUAUUAUCAGAAGAAAAUUAUUCUAUUUAUGAAAGAAAAAAAUAAGGCUAGGCAAGCAAAUAAUUCUUCUCUUUUUGGGGGGUAGGGAGGUGACUUAAACAACAGAAAUUUAUUUCUCACGGUGCUGGAGGCUAGAAGUGCAAGAUCAAGGAGCCGACAGUUUUAUUUUCCUCCGAGGGCUUUGUGCUUGGCUGCCCUCUUGCUGCCUUGUGACCACCCUCUGUGCACACAGGCUCCUGGUGUCUCAAUAAUUAUUUUCCAGAAUCUGUGUGAUGUAGGGGUCAUUUUUUUUCUUUUAUUUUUUCUUUUUUGUUGUUGUUGUUGAUGUAGGGGUCUUUAUGAAGACUCUGAUGGAAUAUUCUCUCCCCUGCAGAUACCUGCCCCUUCAGCCGUAAGGCAUAAAAGAAAAGUGCUAAAAGUAAAGAAGGGAGAGAUUUUCUAGGAACUCGGGGCUCUAGGUUCUUUGCUGAGUGGACACAUUUGGCUGUUUGUAUUGCCCGUAGGUGGGUGGUCUGUUGGGGCAGGAUAGAAGAACCAGUGAGCUGCUGCUGGCUUCUAAAUCUGGGGGCUGUACAUUUGUGUGUGUUUUAAGUCAGAAAGGGUAGUUAUUUUAUUAGAUCAUCAAGCUCCCUCAACUACUUCUUUGCGAAUUCAUGAGAUCUUGCCCUUAUCUCAGAAUGAUGUCUCUAUCCCCAUUACACACACACACACACACACACACACACACACACACACACACACGCUACAAGGCUCAAAGCCCUUUCUCCUAAAUUUCUUUCUCUGCUUAUUACUGAGUUGGUGUUAACCAGGUGGUCUUGUUGGUUUUCUUGGAUUGGACUGUUUGCCUGGGUUGAGAGGGCUCUUGGAAGGAAGAGCCCAAAUCUGGAUAACUUUCUUGGGACCAUACCCAGCACUGGACCAUCCAAAGUCUACGCUGCUCCUUCCGUCGCUCAGUUGUGUGUCAAAUACUGACUUUAUAUCAGGCCCUGAGCAUGUAAAGAUAAACUAGAUAGAGUCUGGGGCAGCGGAGAAUUGGGAGGUGGUGGUGGUAGUAGAUUUAGAAAUAAAUAAUUACCUUACAGUGUGAUGAUUUAGAGGUGUAUAUGGAACAGAGAAUGACUAAUUCUGUCCAAGAGGAGGAAAGAGAGAAACAGGUUGUAGAAGGAAGAUUGGGAGUUCACGGGAGGAUUUGCAGGCAGAGGAAACAGCAAGUGCAAAGGCAACAAUGUUCAGGGAUGAAAGGUGGGGUGGGGUGGGGUGGCCGGGAAGUAAGGAGAGGAGGAGCAGGAAAUGCUGCCGGAAAGGCAGGUUGGGGCCAGAUUUGGAAGGUUCUACUUUUCUUUUUUUAAUUGAUUUUAGAGAGAGAGGAAGGAAGAGACAGACAGAGAGACACAGAUUUGUUGUUCCGCUUAUUUAUGCAUUCAUUGAUUCCUGUGUAUGCCCUGACCAGGGAUGAAACCCACAACAUUGGUGUAUAGGGACGAUGCUCUAACCAUCAUUACUACCCAGCCAUUGCUGGUUCUACUUUUCUUAGAAGCAACAAGGACUCAAGAGAUGUUAUAAGGAAGACUGACAACUUAAUUUGAGCAUGUUUCCAGGUGUUGGAAAGUUGUUCUCUGUUCCAUACACACUUCUAAAUUAUCACACUGCUCCCUGCCUCUAUGGGCGGGUCCUGGUGCCCUGAUUCACUUCCAAUGUAGUUAUUGCAAUAAUAGUAGUAAUGAUAAAAUAAUUUGGGCUGGUCACUUCAGGUUUUAUACAUGCUCUUUAAUUUCAACUUUCAAUAAAGUAUGAAUUGCCUUGAACUCAAUUAUUCAAUCUUAGCCCAUUUUCUAUCAAAUAAGAUAUAACUUCUAAAUAUGAUCUGAUUUCAUGAAUAAUGAUUUUUUUUGUUGUAUAAAUUUUCAGUCACAAAAGUAGGAGGGAAUAGUGCAAUAAUCCUCUCUGUAUCUAUCAAGCAGUUUGACAGCUGUCAAUUCACAGCAGUCUUGUUUCGUCUAUACAGGCGGUCACCAACCUUUCGGACCUCACUGACCACCAGUGGUCCACGAACCACCGAUUGGCAACCGCUGGUCUAUACCACACUCGUUCCUCCUUGCCACUGCGCACUGGAUUGCUUUGAAGCAAAUUCCAAAUGUUAUAUAAUUUCAUCUGUAAAUACUUCAGUAUAUAUCUUUGUAAUUAUUUUUAAGUUCUUUUUAUUGAAUCAGGAUCUAAAAGAGACCACACUUUGCAUUUGGUUGAUAGGUUUUAAGUUUCUUUCACUCAUAACGGUUCCUCUUGCUACUUACUAAUUGAAAAAGCCAGGUUAUUUGUUCUGAAGAAUUCCCCACUUCCAGAAUUUGACAGAUUGCACUUUUCCCCUGUAAUAUGUUCUUCUACCCCAUGAAUUUCCUAUUAACUGUGUGUUACAUCUAGGGCCUUGAUCAGAUUCAGGUUUACUUUUGAAGUGAUGCAAUGUUUUUGCUAUUAUAACAUAUCGAGAGGCACAUAAUUUUUAGUUGUAUCUCUAAUUUCCUACAUGAUUUUUUUAAAUUGCAGUAUAAUUUAUAUAACAUAAAAUUCUCCAUUUUAAAGUGUAUAAUUCAAUAGUUUUGACUAUAUGUACAAUGUUAUACAAUUAUAGCCACUGAUUUCAGAACAUUUCCAUCAUCCCCAAAGGAAACCCCCUCCCUGUUAACAGUCACCCUCCAUGCCAUCCCUACUCCCAGCACCUGGCAAUCAGUAAUCUACUGUCUGUCUCUAUAGAUAUGGAUUUGCCUAUUAUGGGCAUUUUAUAUAAGUGGAAUAACAGAAUAUGUAGCUUUUUGUAUCUGACUAUUCACUUACAGUAAGCAUAAUGUUUUUAAGGUUCAUCUAUAUUAUAGCAUGCAUCAUGUCUUUCUUUUUUUUUUUUUUUGCUGAAUAAUAUUCCACUGUAUGGAUAUACCACAUUUUGCUUACCCAUUCAUCAGUUGAUGGACAUUUGGAUUGUUUUCAUUUUUGGUUAUUAUGAAUAAUACUGCUGCUAUGAACAUUACUGACAGGUUUCUAUGUGAACAUAUGUUUUCAAUUCUCUUAAGUGGUCUCUCUUUUUAUGUUAAAGUUGAUUGGUGGGUUCAAGUAUUAUUGGUAUUUUAAAGUUCCCCUCAAUCUUUCACCCAGUGGUUUUAGAAAUCCCCAAUGAUUGCUGAUCCUUAUCUAAAUCCAUUAUCUCAUUAGAGGUUACCAAAUGGUGAUUUUGUAAUUCUACCAUUCUAUUUGCAUUUAUUAGCCAGAAUUUGUCUAUAAAGAAUAGACACUAAAUCAUAGUUGUAAAAAAAGAAAGGAUAAAUACGUGACUGCUUUCUUUUGUUUCUCAAAUAAUGAUAUUUUGUACUUUCCUGUAUGGAACCCUAAUAAGUUCUGGGUCUCUAUAUGGUUAAAGUGCUACAUGAAGUUGCAAAUAAAGAAUUAUGAUCCUGGAA
Molecule: long non-coding RNA, 3980 nt
Organism: Myotis lucifugus (little brown bat)
Lineage: Eukaryota; Metazoa; Chordata; Mammalia; Chiroptera; Vespertilionidae
Exons: 2
Source: RefSeq, a predicted model, not a curated record